Molecule: ribosomal RNA, 354 nt
Filed under: Eukaryota sp.
Lineage: Eukaryota
Description: SSU rRNA
Rfam family: Eukaryotic small subunit ribosomal RNA
Source: RNAcentral
UUCGUUAACGAACGAGACCUUAACCUGCUAAAUAGCCAGGCCCGCUUCUGCGGGUCGCCGGCUUCUUAGAGGGACUAUCGGAUUUCAAGUCGAUGGAAGUUUGAGGCAAUAACAGGUCUGUGAUGCCCUUAGAUGUUCUGGGCCGCACGCGCGCUACACUGACAGAGCCAACGAGUAAUCUCCUUGGCCGGAAGGUCCGGGUAAUCUUCUGAAACUUCAUCGUGCUGGGGAUUGUCCAUUGCAAUUAUUGGACAUCAACGAGGAAUUCCUAGUAAGCGUGAGUCAUCAGCUCGCGUUGAUUACGUCCCUGCCCUUUGUACACACCGCCCGUCGCUAAUACCGAUUGAAUGGCUA